GGACCCGGCAGCGCCCGCAACGGGCCUUCCCAUUGGCUCUUCCGCCUCCCACCAGAAUUCGAGUGAUUGGUUCAAGAAUAGGAGUGACAGAAGCAGCUACCAAUGAUAGUGGUGAGUUCUGCCUUGGAGGCGGGGCGGUGGGAGAGUGAGGAGGGGGCUGAACGCGCGGGGCGGGGCGUGAGAGUUGACAGCCUUAGAGGUGAGAGAGGGACUUUGAUUGGGCUGCCCUGGGAAAGUGGGUCCCCGAGUGUCUGCGCGCGCCCCGACACCCACAGACACAGACGGGCGCACGCCUCCGUAGGCGGGUUGGGAGGACUCCACCCGCCAGCGGCCGAUUGUACAACUUGAGACUGAGGCAAACUUGACUUUGAGGUUUGGACACUGUUACAUUGACACUGCUGAGCAGCAACAAUGGAGGAGAGAGUUAGGAAGCUACUACAGGAAUCCAGGGACGAGAGAAAUGGUUGCUUAGACCUGGAUGACAGUGAAAGAGGGAAGAAGUGAUGGAUUCUGGAUGGUAUAGAAUUUGCUGAUCAAUUGGAUGUAGGUAUGAGAGACAAGAGGAGCCAGCAUAACUCCAAAGAUUCAGCAUGAGCAACUGGAUAUAUUUUCAAUAUUUGCAUUUUACAGGAAAGAUAUUUAUAAAGAUGUGGAGAGAUGAAAAUGCUCCCUCGAUUCAAUUCCCUUUUCCAUGAAGACACAUGCUGGAACACCAAGUAUAAACCCUUGACACCAUGUGAAGAAUGGACCAGGAAGGCAAAAGUCAGGAGGAAGAAAGAUCUCCGGAAGCUCUGUCACAAAUCAGAUGAGGGAUGAUAAGGGCUCAUCGCUGGCCCUGGCAUAGCAGAGGUAAAGGAAAGGACAAACAAGAGAUUCUGACAGGACUCGGUGAAUAAUUAAAUGUCAGGGAAAAGAUGAGUCGUGCAUGACUGGAGCCUCUAAAUCUACCUGACCGUGGAUUCCCAGAGGGUGGAUACGGCAUGUUUUUCUACCGUUUUAUUAGGGCCAGUGUCAAUAAAAUUAACAUAUACCUGUUUGUCGUACUAUUUUCCACCAGUGAAAAGUAUGCAAUAUUGUUCUUAAAAAUCUUUAAAAUAAAAAUAAUCA
This is a long non-coding RNA of Myotis myotis, 1107 nucleotides long. RefSeq lists it as uncharacterized. The record is from RefSeq and is a predicted model, not a curated record. The transcript is spliced from 4 exons. NCBI's taxonomy places the organism in Eukaryota, Metazoa, Chordata, Mammalia, Chiroptera, Vespertilionidae.